CACAGGUGUUAUGUGGUGGCCCUCAUUCUCCAUGCAUGGAGCAGACUCUAGGAUCUGCAGUUACUGUAUGAUGAGCCCUUCUGAGUAUUUUGCUUGGGUGGACAGUUUAUGUGUCAGGUAUGUGUAUUUAUAAUUAAAAUCAAAUAUUAUUACAUAGGCUUUGCACCUGGCGAGGUAACAUUGAGAGUAGUUAAUCUCUAGACUGGAAUCCAUCUGGAAGACCACUCAAUAACUUGUGAUUAGCUGGACCUGGUGAUGCAAGCCUGGAGUCCCAGUUACCCGGAGGCUGAGGUGGGAAUAUCGCUUGAGACCAGGAGUUUGAGGCUACAGUGAGCUGUGAUUGUACCACUGCACUCCAGCCUGGGUGACAGUGCAAGACCUCAUCUCUUAAAAAAAACAAACAACUCAAAAAACCUCAUCAUUGAGCACCUAUGAUGUGCCAGCAACUGUACUCAGUGGUGGGGACUUGACGACAAACAAACCAGGGAUGGGAUCCUUGAGCAGUCACCAUCUGACAAGUGACUGGGAAAGAUGAAUAAUGCCCUUCACCAAGAUUCUUCUCUGAUCCACAAAUUCAAUUACCAAUUUAUUUGUUCACUGCUCUUAAACUUAAAUAUUUUUUAGUAGGUAAUAAAGACAUGUUUA
Molecule: long non-coding RNA, 645 nt
Filed under: Homo sapiens (human)
Lineage: Eukaryota; Metazoa; Chordata; Mammalia; Primates; Hominidae
Description: non-protein coding lnc-PPP4R1-2:5
Source: RNAcentral